UACAGAGGGUGCGAGCGUUAAUCGGAAUUACUGGGCGUAAGGGGCGCGUAGGCGGUAAGAUGUGUCCUAUGUGAAAGCCCCGGGCUUAACCUGGGAAGUGCAUAGCAAACUGUCUAACUAGAGUAUAUGAGAGGGUGGCGGAAUUUCCGGUGUAGCGGUGAAAUGCGUAGAUAUCGGAAGGAACGUCAAUGGCGAAGGCAGCCACCUGGCAUAAUACUGACGCUGAGGCGCGAAAGCGUGGGGAGCGAACAGG
Molecule: ribosomal RNA, 253 nt
Filed under: uncultured bacterium
Lineage: Bacteria
Description: partial 16S ribosomal RNA
Rfam family: Bacterial small subunit ribosomal RNA
Source: RNAcentral